Non-coding RNA from Megalobrama amblycephala (Wuchang bream), 390 nucleotides. Lineage: Eukaryota; Metazoa; Chordata; Actinopteri; Cypriniformes; Xenocyprididae. The record is from the annotation of a RefSeq genome assembly.
CCAACAGCAACCAUGAGCUUCAUCACCAUCUUCAUCUGGAUGUUCACUAGCUACUGUUUCACAGAAUCAGCUGGUGAAGUGACAGCCACUCAGACGCCUGCAGUGAAAUCUGUUCGUCCAGGAGACUCAGUUACUGUAUCCUGUAAAACCAGUACUGAAGUUUACCAGGGUUGGGGUAAUCAGCCUUUAGCCUGGUACUUACAGAAACCUGGAGAAGCUCCUAAACUCCUGAUAUAUUUAGCAAGCACCCUCCAGUCAGGAACUCCAUCUAGAUUCAGUGGCAGUGGAUCUAACAGUGAUUUCACUCUGACCAUCAGUGGAGUCCAGACUGAAGAUGCUGGACAUUAUUACUGUCAGAGUUAUCACAGUAGUAAUGUGUUCACACAGUGA